UUUGAAUAAAUGAGUACUAAUGAAUAACAAUUUUGCUUAUAAUGUUUGAGUAUAAUAUUUUGGGGUAACUAAGGCACUGUCGUUUAUUUUGCCCCGCAUCGUUUCUUUUUUAAUGUUUUUGACUGUAAACUAAUUAAACAAGUUUUAUUUUAAUUGACUAUUUGAAUAAAUAAUUACUAAUAAUUAUUAUAUUUUGUUUAAAAUGUAUGAGUACAAUAUUUUGGGCUAAGAAAAGCACGGUUCUUUAUUUUGCGACCAUCAUUUCUUUUUUAAUGUUCAGGCACUGACGUUUAUUUUGCGCCCCAUCGUUUCUUUUUUAAUAUUCAUGACUUUAAUCUAAUUAAAGUAAAAAAUUAAAGUUUUAUUUUAAUUGAACAUUUGAAUAAAGGAUUUCUAAUAGAUAUUAAGUUUGUUUAUAAUGUAUAAGUAUAAUAUUUUGGGUAACAAAGGAAUUGUUAUUUAUUUUGCACCCAUCAUUUCUUUUUUAUUGUUCAGACUUUGUCCUUUAUUUUGCGCCCCAUUGUUUUUUUAAAUUUUUUUGACUUGAAACUAAUUAAAGUGAACAAUUAAAGUUUUAUUUUAAUUGAACAUUUGAAUAAAUGAUUACUAAUAUAUAACAAGUUUGUUUAUAAUGUAUACGUAUAAUAUUUUGGGAUAAUAAAGAAACUGUCGUUUAUUUUGC
Molecule: long non-coding RNA, 682 nt
Filed under: Manihot esculenta (cassava)
Lineage: Eukaryota; Viridiplantae; Streptophyta; Magnoliopsida; Malpighiales; Euphorbiaceae
Description: long non-coding RNA (MESC_LNC012537)
Source: RNAcentral